AUUGAACGCUGGCGGCAUGCCUAACACAUGCAAGUCGAACGGCAGCACAGUAUGUAGCAAUACAUAUGGGUGGCGAGUGGCGGACGGGUGAGUAACGCGUAGGAAUCUGCCCUAUAGUGGGGGACAACCCGACGAAAGUCGGGCUAAUACCGCAUACGCCUGCGGGGAAAGGCUUCGGCCGCUAUUGGAUGAGCCCGCGUCGGAUUAGCUAGUUGGUGAGGUAAUGGCUCACCAAGGCGACGAUCCGUAGCUGGUCUGAGAGGACGAUCAGCCACACUGGGACUGAGACACGGCCCAGACUCCUACGGGAGGCAGCAGUGGGGAAUAUUGCGCAAUGGGGGAAACCCUGACGCAGCAACGCCGCGUGAGUGAGGAAGGACUUCGGUCUGUAAAGCUCUGUAAUGUGGAAAAUGGUUAGUGGUCUAAUAGGCCAUUGAUUUGAUGGUACACAUAGAGGAAGCACCGGCUAACUUCGUGCCAGCAGCCG
Molecule: ribosomal RNA, 487 nt
Filed under: uncultured bacterium
Lineage: Bacteria
Description: bacterial SSU rRNA
Rfam family: Bacterial small subunit ribosomal RNA
Source: RNAcentral